GUUUUGUGAAAGCCGUGUUCUAAUGAACAAGUAAUUCUUUCUUUUAAAAUAUUCCUUUUAAUUCUAAUUUAAAGUUUCUUAAGUAAAAAUAUAGCUCUUCAAUAAUAAUAUUAUAAUGUGUUUCUCUUCUAAAAUAAACAGAUUUUAUACUCAUUAUUUUAAAAUGUGAUCAAAACCACAUAAUUGUUUUUAGUCUUCUGAUUGGGAUUUUUAAAAAGAAAAUUCAAAGUUUGGCAUUAAAUAUAUUUUCUGUAAGAUAAUAUAACUACAUAUGAUAAAAUGAUUAAGUACUCUGAUAGUGUCACUAUUUCAAUACCAUUAUUAUCUUUAACAUAUGUUAAAACACUCCAGUACAUAACUAAUAAAGAGGAAUUCACAUGGCCAGCAAUUUUAAACUGGUGCAGCAAACUUAUCUUUUGUGUUUGCAAACAUAAGAGAACUGAAGAAGCAAGAUGCAAACAAUGUCUCCGUUGUUCAGCAUGUGUUUUAUGAUAUAAUACAUUCGUUCAUGUUGUGUUAUACAAAUUUUGCAGGGAGGGUUGCUCGUUUUAUCAAUUUGUGUAUUUUUUAUUUCAUAUUUUGUACGCAAUCAUGAGCAUUUUUCUUAUAAAUUGUACACAACAAGAACCUGUUGAAGAUUAGAAGGAAGGAGCAGCACAUACUUUUAGCAAUCCUUUUAUCUUACCAAUCACUGGAAGAAAAUGAUGCCAAGAAGCCAUGUGAGAUAUCAUCUCUGUCUGUCAUGUUUUCAGAACAGAGUGUGGCUUACUAAUGUUGCCAUUGCAGGCUAUGCUUUGUCAAGUGAAUACGGUUUUCAUCUUAAGGGGAUAGUAAGCAAGAUGUUAGCAAUACUCACUCAUCUUCAGAUUUCAUUGUCAAAUAUACUAAUAUUUCAAAAAUAUGGUUUUCAUCUAGAAAAAAAUGGAGAUUUUGAGUGUACAAAUAUAGCCAAUGCAGGUUAAAUUUAAACAGAGAUUUUUUUUUAAUCUCUCCCUUUUUUAUACUUUUUUUUUUUUUUUUUGAGACAGAGUCUUGCCCUGUCACCCAGGCUUCAGUGCAAUGGUGCAAUCUCGACUCACUGCAACCUCCGCCUCCCAGGUUCUAGUGAUUCUCCUGCCUCAGCCUCCCAAGUAGCUGGGAUUACAGGCACGCGCUACCACACCUGGCUAAUUUUUGUAUCUUUAGUAGAGACAGGUUUCACCAUGUUGGUCAGGCUGGUAUCGAACUCCUGACCUCAUGAUCCACCCGCCUCGGACUCCCGAAGUGCUGGGAUUACAGGCAUAAGCCACCACACCUGGCCCCCUUUUUUAUACUUUUUACAAGUAAUCUGACACUAGGUGCCACAUAAUUAAGAUAAAGACAAAAGUGCAAAACCAUGUAAAAUAUUGACUUCUAAUUGUGAAUUAGUUUCCCUUUUCUACUUGUUUUGCCUUGUUGGAUAUGAAACAUUUCAAGUAUGUCAUUGUAGGAUUAUUUUUGACAUUUUAUUCUUAGAAUGGUGAUUUAGUUGCAUAAUUCUCAUUUGCUAUACCACUUUUCUAAAAAAUAAAUGUUUGAAUUAUUGAAAUAUCCCAAGAUACUCCUUGUUAUAUAAUUGUAGAUCAUUACUUUAUUUUCAGACAAAUUAUGCUAUUGUGGAUAAAUAUUCAAUGUAUAAAAUACAGGACUUCUUUUUUCCUGUUUUACAAAACUCCAGUGCCCUUUCUUAUCUACUAUUUUAAUAUUCCUUUGCUAUAGUAUAUUGCAUAAUGUGGAGUCAACUAUUUUUUACAAUAUGUACGUGUUGAUCUGAAAGUUCCUAUUGAGUUAAAUAAUGAAAAAUAAUUUGGUGGACCAUGAAUUUUAAAUUUGUUAAAAAUUGUUUUAUUUGUGUAUGUGUAUAAAAUUAAAUUUUGCAAAUUGGUAAAUUUAUUCUUCAUUUAACCUUGUUGCUUUGAGUACUCCUAAAGCUUGUAAUAAUUCUUUGGGGAGUAAUAUAAAAUAUAUCAUUCAUAAGUGAAUUUUGCCUUACCAUUAUUCAAGAAU
This 2025-nucleotide long non-coding RNA is filed under the name Homo sapiens (human). RNAcentral's name for it is "non-protein coding lnc-SLITRK5-1:3". Lineage: Eukaryota; Metazoa; Chordata; Mammalia; Primates; Hominidae. The record is from RNAcentral.